GUACCGAACCGGAUCGGUAGUUAUACAUUUUUUUGUAAAGCUUGAAAUGUGGCGCCCAAUACUGUACGCUAGCAUGAAACUUAAAUUUUAGCUGAUGGUACCAUACGAUGGAUUAUAGGAAUUUGAAUGAUGCAGCUCACAGGAAGUCAGUGGAAAAAUGGGGACAUUGUGGGAUACCGAAUAGAUAUCAAGGAUCAUUCUAACGUUCGAUAUACUGAAACGAAUGGGUUGAACAAGUUCAACCAUGUUGGAUUCAUCUAGGAUUGACGCAGACCAAAAAAGUUUUGGCGGCAUCAACACAUGGUUUUCAAAAAAUAGCGCAGUGAAUCAGAUGAAUUGAGCAGAGAUGUCUGGACAAAAACCUCUUGUUGCACAAAAAAUGGCUUACGCUGAACGCCAACGAGGGAACAGCCGAUUAUUGCAAUAACAAUACAGUAUAAAAAUCAACAGUACCACCCCAUAAAAAGGUUCGAUACCCUAGCAUAUCGUGUUUAUCAAUUUAGGCACCUGUUUGUUUUU
Topomyia yanbarensis is the source of this 519-nucleotide long non-coding RNA. RefSeq lists it as uncharacterized. NCBI's taxonomy places the organism in Eukaryota, Metazoa, Arthropoda, Insecta, Diptera, Culicidae. The transcript is spliced from 3 exons. The record is from RefSeq and is a predicted model, not a curated record.